AGGGGUUUAUAUGUGCUGUUCUAAAUACUGGGGUCUGUUCUUACGAGCAGAAAAGAAUGAGAGAAUGGAUAUUGGGAAGCAAGAGCAGCCUCUGCUCCAGCUAGAGAGGGGCAGAAAGACCCUGGUGUAUCCUCAGACUGCUGUACCCUAUGCCUGCUCACAGGACAGACAAGAGCCUUUUAAGGGUGAAGACAGGACUAGACCCCAGCCUCCUGGUCACAUGACUCAGAGAUCUCCCAUAUCCUUUUACCUUCUGUUGCAUGGAGUGGAAUGGGUCGGAGUUUGAGAUGUGGAUCUUUGUGUUAGUCUGAGACUUUUUCUGUGUGGGAGAGAUUGUAUCCUACACACAGUCUAGAAGACAUUGGGGAGGCCCUGAAGCAAUUACUAUUGCUAGAAAUAAAGUGUAGAGACAGAAGUGGGGAUGGGAUGGUACUAGAGAGUUAGGCACAAGUCGAGUGAUGAGAGGUUGAGUCUGGUCUGCACAGGAUCCUAAUAGAUCUUAACAGGCUGCAGCAAUGGUCUAAGCAUAAUGAGGCAAAACUGAAACUGAACAGGAACAGAACAUGUUACACCCGAGUCCAAAAGAAAACUAACAAGAUGCACUGAUGUGACUUAGUAUCUUCAGGAUAAAAAUGACAGAAGCACUUCAGUAAUAUCAGCCAUAAUGUGUAAGGGAGUUAUUUUGAUCUCAGCCUGCAGGAGCAGAGAAUUUCAACGAGGUGAGAGGCAUGCUUUGCCAUGCACAGGCUAGACCACACUUGUCAUGCUGCAUGUAGUUCUGAAAAGGACAGACCAAAGUUUUAAAAGGAGAGAAGCCAGGAUGGGAUUGAAGAAUCCUCAGGUUGUAUAUUUAACAUUUUUAUCAGUCACUUAGGUCACGCCUGCUUACCAAAUUUGUGGAUUACUCUAAUCUGACAGAGGUGGUAGAUACAGUGACAGGCAGAAUCAGUCAAAUAGAACAAUGAGCCAAUGCCAGGCUAUGAAAUUGAAAACAGAUCAAGGUAUCUCACCCCCAAAAAUGAUAAGUAUGUGAAGUAAUGCAUAUGUUAAUUAGCACUAUUUAGCCAUUUCAGAAAGCCUGCUUAUUUCAAACAACAUGCUGUACACAAUAAAUAUAUAUAAGAUCUGUGUCAACUAAAGAAUUAAAAUUAAAAUUAAAAGUCAAAGAAAAAAAAAGAAAAAAGUUUGGAAGAGCAAUCCAUUGUUCAAGAAAGGGAUGAGAGAGACCUGGUACAAUGGCUGUUCUAACAAAUCAGCACUUUAGUGGGCAGCAGGGCUCAUCAAAGUACCAGUGUGUCUGUGUGUGUCCCAGGCUGGUGGAUGGUGGGCUUCCAAGGAGCCUCCAGGCAGCACUGAUAUUCAUGACUUCACCCAAGCCAGGAUUUUGACCUUGGCUUUGUGGGUUUAGAUUUUCAAAGUGUUUGAGUUUCCUGGACUUGGGGAGGCUGACUCUCACUAACAAUGCUUUUAGGAGACUGCAGAUGCCGAAAGUAUUGAUUUUCAGCAUGAAUUCUACUUGUUAGGUACCUUAAACCUGAUCAGCAUACAUAUGGUUCUUCUUCCAUGUAAGAAAACCACAUGAGGAACCAAAUAAUACCUCUAAGGAGUUUUGAGGAGGAUGGAACUGAAAAGAGGGAUGUGAGUAGUGUGACUCGAAUGCUGUUAGAAGAGUCUGAUGUGUCCUUCUUCCUCAGGUGAAAGUUCUCAGACUGAAAACAUCUAGAUAACCUCUAGCUAUGCUAAGCCACAGGCACUUUUAUAGGCCUAGAACCUAUUUCGUGUCUUUAAGGUGACUUGACAGAGUGUGGUUUUGUCCUCUUAUUUUUUGACAUAUUCUGCAACUCAGGAAACAGUCUUGUUUCCCUUUCUCUAUAGCACUCGAGGUGCAUCAGUCUGCUCCUCCCUUUGCCUCAAGGUCCCACAGUGGCAAGGGGAGAGGAGACCAGUCUGGGGGGUCUGCUUAUUAAGCCUUCAUUGCUGUCUACCCCAAGAAAACUCAGAGUCACUGUCUCCUAGGCACUUCUCAGGUAGAAAGAAAUCUUUCCUUACCCUCCAAAUCUGCUAUCCUUCAGGGAUGGAUUCUCGGGUACCUUCGACCAGCUCCCUGCUCUGUUCCAGCUUCCUGGGCAUAAAGGCAAAUAAUCCCAACGUGUUUGGCUUUGACUUUUUCUCAUGGCCUCCUUUCCCAGUGGGUGGCCAUAUAUAUUCAUUCACAUGUCCAAGGGGAUUCCUCCUUCCAUCCCCCGUUUAUUGAUGUUCUUGUCACAUCUCCCUUAGGAGCUUGUUGUGUCAGUCAAGGUCCCAGCAAGAAACAGAUGGCACACUUACACUUGGAUAAUGUGAAAUGAAUUUAAUAAAGGACUACUUACAAAGCUGGGAGCAGGGCUUAGGGAAACCACGAAGAAUAGUCAAAUGCCAGAGGACUAUGAAAUCUAGGUGCUAUUGUAGGCCUGAAAGAGUGGAGAGAGGGGAAAGAGAGCCAGAAGACUGCGGGGGCUAUGCGGAAGAAACAUAGGAUUCCUGGCUUUCAACAGAACUGGCCCAUGGAAACCCCACGGCAAUAGUAAUAAAUGCCACACCCUCACUCACUUCUCUCCUUCCAAUCUCCUGCUGAUGCACAACACUGGCCAUGUGCAGUUGGUAGUCAGUGGUCAAGGGAGCCCAAGAGUGUGGUUCAGGUUCAGCUUCCCCAGGGAAUAGCAGGGUGGACAAAGAUAGAGAGUGGAUUUGGAUAGGCAAAUAGAAUAAUCCAGUAAAAACACUGAAGGCUAGACUUUGUUGUUAAUACCUGUAUUUUUUGGUUUCCCAUCCCACACAUAGUAGGUUUGCAGCAGUUGACUUGGCCAUGGAUUUCUUUGGUGGCUUCCCCCUUUCCAGUGACCCUGGGAGGCAUACUGCCCCCUGCACUGUGGAAUCUCUCAGCCACUUGGGUCUCCUUUGCCAAGGAGUGUCCUCCCUCUGGAACUCAAUACCAGCUCUUUCUUCUUCUGGAAUCUUCUCUCAGCUCUUUUAAGCUUAUAAAGUUGAUUCACUGACUGCUGGUUUGAAAUGGUGUCUGCUAACAAACAGUUGCUGGUACAGCUUCUCUGUAAUGUGAGGUAAAAUACCUAUAAAAGCUUAGAAGAAGAUGUAAACUCAGAACACAGCCAUAAACUUGGACUGACAAUCCCCUGAAGACUGGAUCUGGGAGGACUUUUUGCCAAUAGUACUGCCAAUGAAACUGAAAAGAAAAGAACAUUCUAUGGGUGUGGGUGUGUUACUGAGGAAAUGCUCUGUAGGCAAGAGGUAAGAAGGACUAUUAUUUUCAUUGUGCAUCUCCUGGAUGGGGAUCCCCUGGAUGAUGGGUCCCCUCAAUUGUGUAUACUUGAAUGGAUUCUCUGGUGAAAAUUGAUGACCACCCAGAACUUUAGUAUGUGCCUUUUUUUUUUUUUUUUUUUUUUGUAAAUACCUUAUCUGCAGAUACAAUGGAUUAAGAUUUAAAAUGAGACCAUACUGGGUAGGCUGGAUCCUGAAUCUAAUGAAAGCAUCUUUAUAAGGGACGGAAAGACACAUACAGUGACUCACAGACAGAAUAUGUUUCAGGCCACAUGAAGACAGACACAGAAACUGGAAUGGUGGGGUCACAAGCCAAAGAAUGCCAGGAGCCAACAAAAGCUCAAAGAGGCAAGGAAGGACUCUGUCGUAGAGACUUCAGAGAGAGCAUGCCCCUGCUGGCACUUUAUUUUGGACUGACCUCCAGAAUCGUGAGAGGAUAUAUUUUUGUUGUAUUAUGGGCAACCCUAGGAAACUAAUACAAUGGAAAACUCAAGUUUAUGCCAAGUGUUGAAAAUGGAAAUGCCUAAGAUAAUGAAAAUGAGUGGGUUGACCAGGGAGGCACAGAGGUGAAGUUGAGAGGCCACAUGGUCUAUGAAGACACAUCCAAUUGUUGUCUUCUAAGAAUGCAGACAUGGACUUGCCAAAUAUUUUUACAGUUCAGAAGAAGCUAGAAAUUUGGAUUUCAUUUGUGUGCUCUUUUUUUUUUUUUUAACAUUGCCCUAAUUUUAUUUCAAAUGUGGUACUAACCGUGUCAAACAUGUUUGAGAAAGUCAUGGGUAGCCAGUAUGGUGCCUCCUGUCUGGGUCUGUAUUAGUUUGUUCUCAUGCUGUUGAUAAUGACAUACCCGCAGCUGGGUAAUUUAUAAAGGAAAAGGGGUUUAAUGGACUCACAGUUUCACAUGGCUGGGGAAGCCUCACAAUCAUGGUGGAAGAUGAAGGAAGAGCAAAGGGACAUCUUACAUGGCACCAGGCAAAAGCGUGUGUACAGGGGAACUCCCUUUAUAAAACCAUCAGAUCUCGUGACACUUAUUCACUGUCACAUGAACAGCAUAGGAAAAACCUGAUCCCAUGAUUCAAUUACCUCCCACCGGGUCCCUCCCAUGACAUGUGGAACUAUGGAGCUACAAUUCAAGAUGAGAUUUGGGUGGGGACACAAUCAAACCAUAUCAGGGUCCCUUUUAGCCAUCCUUGUCCUGUGCAUUUUCCCCAUUUUAUAAGAGGGAGAAUUGUGUUCCUCUCCUCUUCCAUUAUUUAUUUUCCAGCCUCAGAGAAGAUCCUGCUCCAAAGACCACAGGGCAGGGGUUGGAAGGCAGAAGCAGGAGGGUUUUUGUGGCAGUGAUGCAUAGCAUAAUUGCCUGAUGGUUAUUUCCACUCAUUAACUGUCUGUCUUAUCAGAAGUCCAGGAAGAAGUUGCACAGAAUACUAUUUUAGUCUACCAGAACCACGGUUAGUAAAGCCUGCUGGAAUGUGGAGCUGAUCUAGGAGCUGUGGGCAUUCAGCUGGUGAGUUAUGAAAUGGGAAAAGUUCCCUUAUCCCACUAGCAGGGUGUGUGAUGGGGGGAGUGACUCGUUUCUUUGGUGCCUGCAGCUCAAACCUCUAGGGGGAGUAUGCAGAUGGGCAGAUCGUGGGGAUCAUGGACUCCAACCCCACAGCAGUGUCUAGGGUUGGGUGUUUACAGCUCUGGAAGCCCCAGUGUGUUACAGUGUGCUCUUUCAGCUUAGAUAUCUGCAGGCGGCUUGUGUUAAUCAGCUCAAUCAGACCCUCUGCCUUAUCACAAGGACAUAGGGCUUUCUGUAUCCCGGGGUUCUUGCAGUAGUGUACUGGAAAAAUCAGAUCACGUGUUGGCAUGGAGAAUGAGUGCAAGGUUUUAUUGAGUGGUAGAAGUAGCUCUCAGCAGAUGGAUGGGGAGCAUGAGAGGGAUGGAGUGGGAAAGUGGUCUUCCCUUGGGUCAGGCUGCUCUGUGGCUGGGCUAUCCUCCAACUGUCCUCAGCCAAAUUCCACGUCAUCCCACCAUCAAUGGCCUGCCAGUGUCUGUUGGUGUGUUCUUCUGCCUGUGUGUUUCUCUUGACAUCCACACACUUGUGUGUAUGCCUGCUAGGGUCUCGGGGGCUAUAUAGGCACAGAAUAGGGGGCAUGGCAGGCCAGAGAGAUCUUGGAAAAUGCAACAUUUGGAUCUGAAAACAGGAGUGCCUGUCCUCCCCUGGGUUCGUGAGACUCAGACAAUUUAUUUCCUGAUUAUUGAUUGGGGGUGAGUGGGAGAAGGGAAAGUAUCUGAGGACAUAUUCUACAUUACCAAAAUUGAUUACAAAUGAAGAGGCCAAGAAUGAGAAAGGCAGGGCCUGAAGAGCCUGAUGGAUCUGCCUUCACUCAAAUUGGACUCCACUCUCAGGAUUUCAGUCAUGGUGCAGUUGUGUAUCCAAGGGCAAAGCUUGGCCUCGAUGUGAUACCCUCAUUGGUUUUGCUCUUCCUCCAACUUUCAGGGGAAUGUGUUUCCAGAAUCCUUUAUUCCACCUUUGAUGUGAAAAUUGGGUCCAUGAUUACAAAUGGCUGAUCCAUGUGGGGCUUAAUGCCUAGGUGACGGGUUGAUAGGUGCAGCAAACCACCAUGGCACACGUUUACCUGUGUGGAGCCCUCACUGGGGACCCCACCCUUCUCUACCCAGCAUUUUCUGCCCCCCUCCCAUAUCUGUUACACCUUGAAACAGAAGAUUUGACCAGAAGGAAGUAGGGUCAAGGAACAUUCAUCCUUGAGGUCUUCUGGUAAACACUAGACUUUGAUACAUUUUAUUUUAUUUGGGGAUGAGAAAACUACAAAACAUGAAGAAUAUGAGCCUCAACAAGGACAGCAAUCACAGUGGAGAAAUAUUGAGCACUGGUCAUCCAAAAUUAUUGUGAAAGCUCCCAGCAAGAUCAAAUCCUUGACACCCAUCUGCUGAAGGAAAUAGAUUUUUGUUUUAAGGAAAUUAUUUGGAGUCCUGAGAUUCAAGGACAAACCUUGCAUCUCAUCUCUUUUGGAUUUCUGUUGGAAAUAGGACAAAUGUUUCAAAGAAAGAACAAAAUGUCAUGUAAAAAGAACUGGAUAAGAUAAGGAAGAAUUUAUAGGCAGCCAAAAGUGCAACAGCAGAAUUACAUUAGCAUUAACAAGCAGUGGAAAACUUAAUUGAGAUUAUGGAAAAUCAUAUUGUAUUAUAAGGGACAAAUUUUAGAACUCUCCUAGAAAGUAUGGGACAGAGAUGAAAAUGAUGAGAGAGCAUGUGUUUGUUUAAAAAGUCUGAGAUAGUAGCUUUAACUUAAGAAUUAUAAGUCUUUCUACUUGAGAGAGAAAAGACAAAUAAAAAAUACUUCCAAAAAAAUUCCUACUUAUAAAAACCAAUGUAUAAAUGUUAAAAUUGGUUCUUUAAGUUACAAGUAAUGUUAGUAAAACAAGCAGCAAAAAAACCCCAAAAAGAUUACUGCAAUAUGCAAUUGCAUGUAAUUUUUCUUUAUUUUUAAUUAUAAAAAUUAUAAAAUAUUCAAACACCUCAAAUGGAUAUAAUGUAAAUAACAAAAGCUUCUCUUUGCUUCUCCUUUUCUGUUCUCCAGAGGUAAGAGUGUUAGUAUUUUGCUGAAAAGCCUUUCAGAUCUUCACUCUGCAUAUACCAGCUCCUACAAAUAUUCAUUAGUUUUUUGAACAACAAGAUUAUCACAGUAAACUUUCUGCACCUAGCUUUUUUUUUCAUUUAGCAAUAUAUUGUAGAUGUUUCUUCUUAUUAGAACAUGAGGCUCUAGUUAAUAUUUGAAAUUGUUGAAGGGAUUUUUUGUAUAGAUGCACUGUAAUUUAUCCAACUCAGUAAAUGUUUCCUUUUUAUUUCUCAACUAUAAAACUGGUACUGUGAAUACUCUUAUCUUUGCACACUAUUUGUAAAUAGUUUUUGCUAGGCUGUUUACAGAAUACGUUUUUUGUUGUAAAAUUACUCUGGUGAAAAGUUUGACCAAAGUAUAAAGACAAAGGAAUCCUACAAGGAUACAUGCAGGCACGAAAUGAAACAAACAAAACUAAACCCUCAGACUGGUUGUUUACAAAGAAACAGAAAUCAGGAAGGCUUUGGGAUUUCCUUCUGCAGCACUGAAUGCCAAAGUGUCUUUGAAUAGAAUUGCAUCUGCAGAAUUUUUAAGUGGAAAAGCAAUAUUGUGCACCAAGAAUUUUGUUCUCCUCCAAGUAAUGUUUUGUAUGAAAAAGUCAUUCCCUGAUAAACUGAGACUCAGACAAUUUAUUUCCUGAUUACUGAUUGGGGGUAAGUGGGAGAAGGGAAAGUAUCUAAGGACAUAUUCUACAUUACCAAAAUUGAUUACAAAUGAAGAGGCCAAGAAUGGGAAAGGCAGGGCCUGAAGAGCCUGGUGGAUCUGCCUUCACUCAAAUUGGACUCCACUCUCAGGAUUUCAGUCAUAGUGCAGUUGUGUAUCCAAGGGCAAAGCUUGGCCUUGAUGUGAUACCCUCAUUGGUUUUGCUCUUCCUCCAACUUUCAGGGGAAUGUGUUUCCAGAAUCCUUUAUUCCACCUUUGAUGUGAAAAUUGGGUCCAUGAUUACAAAUGGCUGAUGCAUGUGGGGCUUAAUGCCUAGGUGAUGUGUUGAUAGGUGCAGCAAACCACCAUGGCACACGUUUACCUGUGUGACAA
This is a long non-coding RNA of Homo sapiens (human), 7969 nucleotides long. RefSeq lists it as uncharacterized. Lineage: Eukaryota; Metazoa; Chordata; Mammalia; Primates; Hominidae. The transcript is spliced from 4 exons. The record is from RefSeq and is a predicted model, not a curated record.